RNAcentral lists this ribosomal RNA (830 nucleotides) under uncultured organism. RNAcentral describes it as "bacterial SSU rRNA". It matches the Rfam family "Bacterial small subunit ribosomal RNA", at positions 526 to 1370 of the family's 1533-position model. The record is from RNAcentral.
CGUAGGACGCGAGCGUUAUCCGGAAUUACUGGGCGUAAAGGGCCAGCAGGCGGCUUGGUAAGUUGUGCGUGAAAGCCUCGUGCUCAACGCGAGGAAGCCGGACAAUACUGUCAAGCUAGAGGGCAUCAGAGGGGAGUGGAAUUCCCGGAGUAGCGGUAAAAUGCGCAGAUAUCGGGAGGAACACCGAUGGCGAAGGCAGCUCCCUGGGAUGCACCUGACGCUAAGAGGCGAAAGCUAGGGGAGCGAACAGGAUUAGAGACCCUGGUAGUCCUAGCUGUAAACGCUGGGUGCUAGGUGUGGGACGUAGAAGUUCCGUGCCGGAGCAAACGCGAUAAGCACCCCGCCUGGGAAUUACGGUCGCAAGGCUAAAACUCAAACGAAUUGACGGGGCCCCGCACAAGCAGCGGAGCGUGUGGUUCAAUUCGAUGCUACACGAAGAACCUUACCUGGGUUUGACAUGUACGUGGUGCGAAGGCGAAAGCCUAAGGACCCUUCGGGGAGCGUACACAGGUGCUGCAUGGCUGUCGUCAGCUCGUGCCGUGAGGUGUCGGGUUAAGUCCCGUAACGAGCGCAACCCUUGCCCUUAGUUACAAGUGUCUAAGGGGACUGCCGGCGGGAAGCCGGAGGAAGGUGGGGAUGACGUCAAGUCAGCAUGGCCCUUAUGUCCAGGGCUACACACACGCUACAAUGGUCAGUACAAAGGGUAGCGAAGUCGCGAGGCGGAGCGAAUCUCAACAAAGCUGAUCGUAGUUCGGAUUGCAGGCUGCAACCCGCCUGCAUGAAGCUGGAGUUGCUAGUAACCGCGCGUCAGCCAUAGUGCGGUGAAUACG